Molecule: long non-coding RNA, 1485 nt
Filed under: Carica papaya (papaya)
Lineage: Eukaryota; Viridiplantae; Streptophyta; Magnoliopsida; Brassicales; Caricaceae
Description: long non-coding RNA (CPAP_LNC013782)
Source: RNAcentral
UGUUUGGAUCUAUUUAUGGUUUUAAAAGGUUUGAUCAGAUGACAUACUAUAAUGAAAAGAUAUCAGAGACGACUAUACACAUAAUAAACAUUAUAACAAAAAUUUAUCCAGUAACAAACAGCAGGGCUUUAUCGAGAUAAAGGCAACAACAGAAAGUUUGCAUCUGGAUCGACAUCUAAGACCAAAAUUACACAAGAAUCUUUUCCCAGACACAAAUUUCCUAAUGUAGCACAGUGAAUAAGGUUUAGAGAAGAUAUGUAGAGAGAGAGAGACGUAGAGAGAUUCCCCUCUGCAGUCACAUGGAUUGAGAAAACAAUCAUAACUACUGGGUUUUAAAAUAGCUUCAAUCAAUGGGAGGAUCUUAGCAAGUCUUCUUAAAAAUGAAGAAUCACCCCCAUGCACUAUGUGGUGAUUAAUUAACAUAAUUUCUAGGAUACCUAAUUACAAAAAGAAUAACAAAAUAAGAUUACUACUAAAUAAGAAAUAAUAAACGUAUAACAAUAAUAAUAAUAAGAUUAUAAUUAAUAGUAACUAAUAAGCUAAAUAUUCUUAAUAAUAUAUAACAGAUUAUAAUUGUAUAAAUAUAUCUAGAUCUUGAAAUACUUCCAUUACAGAACCUUCUUAUUCUACAUAAUUAAGCCGAGUUUCGCCUUCCCCGUUAGGCAGUCUUCACCCUGAUAUGAUUGCCCUAUUUUCAACUAUAUACAAAAUAAUGUCACGAACCCGAUACAUAAUUCAGAUCUGAAGGAAAUAAGAAGAAAAAGGAAGAAAGCUGAGAGAGAGAGAGAGAGAAACUGAGAAUCGGUGAGAAGUAAAAGAAAGAUUAUAUUCAAAUUUUAGUAAUUUUCCAUACUCUAUUCCUUGAGUACAUGCUUAAAUAUAGGAUAUAAAGUAGAAAUUUGUAACCGUCGGAUAUGAUGAUCCCGGAUCUUUCUCUCCUAAUUUAUUAUGAUUAAAAAAAAAAAACAAAACUAUCCUCAUAUAAACUUGCCCUUUUUACCGUUACAUGUUAUUUUUCUAUUUUUCUAAUUUACUCAUAGUCCCUCACAAAUACUUUCACUUUUUUCCCAUGCCAAUAUCUCUAGAUAAUGUAUAAUGUCCUAUCCUGAAAACUGAGGAGCACUUAAUUGCCAAAUUCAUUAUCACCUUAAAAAGAUGUGAUAAUUCACAUUCAUCUAUGAAACACUCAGUUGCACCAAUGAAAGUCCAAGCGUUUCCCUGGAUAUUGUUCAUAUAAACAGCAAGACUCAAAAAAACUCAAGUAAAUUAUGCAGGCAAGAUAACUGCAGGGAAUCCAAUUUUACAGCAAUAGUGAAGCAAGCAUGAAGCUGCAGUUAUGUAAGACAACCAAUGUAGAAUGAGUGAUUUUUUGAAUGAUUUCCCCAAUAAGUUCUUGGAUGGCAUAUGACAAUUUAAUAAGCUAAAGCACCAAACUAUAGUCUGUCUUACUAUUGUUUGAGGCUUACAAAUAUUCAGUGGUUUUUG